This is a ribosomal RNA of Pteropus vampyrus (large flying fox), 120 nucleotides long. Lineage: Eukaryota; Metazoa; Chordata; Mammalia; Chiroptera; Pteropodidae. The record is from Ensembl.
GUUAAUAUAUAUAAUAUAUUUGAACAAGCCGGAUCCCAUCUGAUCUCAGAAACUAAGCAGAGUCAGGCCUGGUUAGUGCUUGGAUAAGAGACCACCUAGGAAGACCAGGUGCUGUAGGUG